GAUGAACGCUGGCGGCGUGCCUAAUACAUGCAAGUCGAGCGAACGGACGAUGAUCUUGCUGCUCUCGUGUUAGCGACGGACGGGUGAGUCACGCGUGGAUAACCCACCUAUAAGACUGAUAUCACGGCGGGAAACCGGAGCUAAUACCGGAUAAUAUUUUUAACCGCAUGGUUCAAAAGUGAAAGACGGUCUUGCUGUCGCUUUUAGAUGAGUUCGCGCUGCAUCAGCUAGUUGGGAGGGUGACGGCUUACCAAGGCGAGGAUGCGUAGCCGGCCUGAGGGAGUGGACGGCCGCACUGGGACUGAGGGGCGGCCCAGACUCCGACGGGUGGCAGCAGGGGGGAAGAUUGAACAAUGGGCGCAAGGCUGGUGCAGCGAGGCCGCGGGGGGGAAGACGGCCUUCGGGUGGUAAAAUCCUUUCGCUAGGGACGAAGCUUUUUGUGACGGUACCUAGAGAAGAAGCACCGGCUAACUACGUG
Molecule: ribosomal RNA, 478 nt
Filed under: uncultured bacterium
Lineage: Bacteria
Description: partial 16S ribosomal RNA
Rfam family: Bacterial small subunit ribosomal RNA
Source: RNAcentral